AGGCACAGCGACGGCUGGGUGCCCUUGGUUGAUCCUCUCUCUCAGCCUUAGGAGGAAAAACACUUCCCCAAAACCUUGCCCCCAAAACUUCAGGGAUUUGUUCAGGCAAUCACCAGGAAUCAAAAACUAACUUAAAGACACCCAGAAGGGGUGGAAAAAGUCUCAGGUUAACUAUUGGAACGAAAUUCUAGAUACCUUUUUCCAUUGGCAAUCAAACCCAGAAAAAUGAGAUUUUUCUAGAAAAUAGACACAUUUUCGAUCUUAUUAAAUAUCAGGGAUACUUCAGUCUAGUAGUUUACCAUUAAUGAAUUGCCAGUGCCUUAAAGAAGAGGGUGGGUUUUAGUUCCUCUUCUUUCUCUCCCCCUUCCCAGUUUUAAUUCUUGGUACCUUUGGUUAAACCUGUCUCUCCCACCUGGGAACCAAGCUGAUUGAAAACUUUGCAGGCUGCAGUCUUAACGUUUCUGAAGGGAACUGCUGACCAAGCUUGAAGAAGAUCAUACAAGUAGUCCUCGCCUUACGACUGGUUGCUUAGUGAUCAUUGGAAGUUACAACAACCUCCCUGCGGGGCACUCACAACCCAGUUAUGACAACUGGGGUGUGGCAGUCACAUGACCUUGUGUCAGGCGCUUGUCAACUGGCCUGCAUUUAUGGCCAUUUGCUGCAUCCCGUGGCCACAUUACUUGUUUCACAGUGUUUUUGCAAGAAAGGCAUUUAGUGGUUUUCAGCAAAUCCUAGCCCAUAGCAAACCGUUUGUUUACUUAACAACCGCAACCACUGUAAAAGGUCACACAAUCAAAUCAGUCACCUGGGUGAUCCAGUUUAUGACUGUUACGGCAUAUAAUUGUGAUUAGCAGGCUGCAUUAUGGUUGUAAGUCAAGGACUACAUGUAAUGUGUGACAGGAGAAGUGAACCGCAUAUAAAUUUCAGUUAAUGAAAACACCCAAUUAUUUGAAUGAGGGAGAAAGAUCUAAGAUGGUGGGUUUUUUUUUUCAUUUUGUUAAAAUGAUGCAAAAGGAUAGCACUAGUGCAGCACUUCUGAAUGCAUUCAGAUACAGUUAAGUGAAAGUUUUUGAGAAUUAUUUGGUAGGUUUGAACACUAAUUGCAUUAAAAGAAGGAAGACACUGCAAAUAUAGAACUACACAAGACUAUCUCGGCUCCUGUAGCCUAUAUUUCUACCUCUGCGAUGAUCAAAGAGGAUUGGAUACAGUUUAGAGAAGGAGCUGCAGUGACGCUCUGUUUAUUUCAAGAUAUCUGCCUCCACUUCCAUGCCUCCUUUCUCUGAAUUUUCUUAAUCAAGAAGGCAAAUGACAGAUUUCAAGUUACAAGGAGUCCUUUUCAGGAAGGAAUAUUUGAAAGAAAGCAAAAAGCGAAAUCUGAAAAUGUUAUUCCAGUUGGCUCAGUUGUGCAAGUUUGCACAUAAACAGUCUGUGUGCUGUGGCAUUAGAAAGGUAAAAUUGUACAAAAACAAAGAAAUUGAUGUUCCUAUUUACGGGAGAUUCCUAUUUAUAGAUUAGGGUACAGGGGAAGGCACUGAAAAAAAAUCUGCAAUUGACAAUCUGUGCAGUCUGAGCAAUUGCGAAAGCAGGAUGCUAAUAGUUGGGAGUAGGAGCAUAAGUUAGUAUUCAUGCCCACAUCCAGAAGGUCUUAGGAUCAGCCCCUGGCACCCCCUGUUGAGCAGCAUCGGAAAGGAAAUGAGGGGAAAAACAUUUCAAAGACCGAAUCCGAGUGCCAGUAAGAACAGACUGGAGGGGACUGGAUGGACCCCAUUAUAUCAAGUUCAGACUUGAUAUAAUGUAACUCCCUAUAUUGGAAUUUCUCAGCUCUCCUUGCUCCUCAAUUUCUUCUCUUUUAUGAUUUUUUUAAGUUAGGUGGGAUUUUCAGGAAACAGACCUGCUUACAGCAAAGAAACAAGCAGCCCAAUUCCUAUUUCUGCAGAUUAAGUCAGAAUGGUUUUGUCGAGAAGUCUAUUUGCAAAUUAAAUCAAGCUGCAUCUGCUCCAAUGUCUUGGGUGAUUUGCUGGUUUUGUUCCUCUUAACUACCUUGUCAAUGAGACUAGGCAGAUACCUAGACGUGACCAAGAAGUAACUUGGCUGUGAAAAGCAUAAAAUUGGUGGGAAAGAGUUCAUUUUUUCCAUCCCAUUUUCCCUACUCUUCAAUACUAAAGCACUGACCUAUUCACAGACCCAGAACUGCAAAGUACUAUUACCUAAUCAACCAAUGGUAUUUAUCAGGAAGAGUGCACCCAUCUCAAGAUUGGAUUGGCCCUAACCUUGCCAACUUUUUAGAAAGCGUUGAAAAACGCACAUUUGUUCCUGGGUGUACAGGAGUGGAAGGGUUUGGGGGGGGGUUGUGAGUUAAUCAUUUUGAAUUAUUACAGAUUAGUGUCUUUCUUUGGUGAUCAUUAAAUGUAUGCUGGGCUUUUUAAAAUGUCUUAUGUAUAUUGUAUAUGGUUAGUCACCCAAAAUCUCUAUAAUGAGAUGAGUGGCCAUAUGAAUUGUUUACAGGUAAUCCUCGGCUUACCACCAUUCAUUUAUUGACUGUUCGAAGUUGCCACAGGACUGACAAUAGUGAUUUAUGACCAUUUUCCACACUUAACGAAAGUUGCAAUACCGCUCUCCCCCCACGGUCACAUGAUCAAAGUUCAGGCCUUUGGCAACGGAUUGAUAUUUGUGACGGUUGACGUGUCUCGGGGUCAUGUGAUCAACCUUUUACGAUCUUCUGACAAACUAAGUCAAUGGAGAAGCCAGAUUCAUUUAACAACCAUGUUACUAACUUAACUGCUGCAAUGAUUGACUUAACAAUUGUGGCAAGAAAGGCUGUAAAAUAACCUUCUCGACUUACAACAGUUCACUUAGUGACCGUUUGAAGUUACAACGGCACUGAAAAAAGAAAAAAAAAAUCAGAGCUGAAGAAGCUUCUUGGAUGAGAAGUGAAACAUCUUGAAAGAAAAACCAGAAAGUCCAGUUGCUUUGGGACAACUAUGAUCUGGAUGACUGAGAAUCUCCAUAGACAUUUGGCACCGGAAAAAGUGGCUGGUGACCAUUUUUCAGACUUGCGACUGUUGCAGUAUCCCCGUGGUCACAUGAUUUACAUUUGGAUGCUUGACAGCUAAUUCACCACUUAAGAUGGUUGCAGCGUCCCUGGGUCAUGUGAUCCCCUUUUGCAACCUUCUGACAAGCUAAGUCAGUGGGGAAAUUAAGGGAAAUCAGAUUCCCUUAAUAACUGGGUUACUAAUUUAACAACUGCUGUGAUUCACUCAACAAAUUUCUCACUCAGCAGCAUAAAUUUUGGCCUCUGAUGUGGUCGUAAAUUGAGGACUACCUGUAUAAUCUGGAGAUCACCCCGGUGUUUCCUUCCUUUGGCCUCGAGUUUAUUAUUCUGGUUUCUCUGGAGUUCAGUUGCUGACUGUUGGUAGGAUUCCAUCUCUUGACUUUUCAUCAACCCUCUCCUUUUAUUUUCUCCCUUCCUUCCAGGAUAUGGACAAGACUUGAGUGGCUUUGGACAAGGCUUUGCCGACCCCAGCCAACAGCCCCCCUCCUAUGGAGGCCCUUCAGUACCACCCUCAAGUGGGCCGCCCGCAGGGGGCAGUGGUUUUGGCCGUGGACAGAACCAUAACGUUCAAGGUUUUCACCCCUAUCGACGCUAGCGUGCCCACCUAGAAAUCAGGGAGUUCUGUCCAGAGCAGGAUAUCUGGUAUCAGCUGAAACCCAGGAAGCCCAGACUUAUGAACUUGUGACAAUCACCUACUUUACCAGAGGGGGGAGGGGGGACCACAAAUGUAACAUCUUUUGGAGGGGUGUUGGGGGAGAAAGAGGAGGCAGCUUUUGAAAGCAAAGUUGUCAGUGGUGUUUGGACUGCAUUUUUUUUUAAACAAAAAUCUUUUCUUUAACCCAUCAGCACAAAAUAAAGAGUGUCACUGGUUCAAACUACAGGGUUUUAAAAAUGUCUUCAGCUUUAAUUAAAAAAAAAAUCUUCAGGUUUCUUUAUUUUUGUUGAAAAUUUUAUUUUUUUUCCUGAGCCUUUGUUUUACCAUAUAUUGUAAACUUUUAUGUUCAAAGAAGAAGAAAAAUAUAUACAUUUACAGAUUGUGAGAUUUUUAAGAGAAAUUUUCUACUAUGUAUGCAGGCUUAUUUUUUAAUUUAAAAGAAAAAAAAAACAGGGUUUCCAUUAGCACUGCUUAGAGGGUCAAGUUUUGAACCUCCUUUUGUUAAUGUGUGGUUGGUCCAGAAACUGGGAGUUAUUUAACAAAAAAAAAAAAGUGGGAAGUGGAAAUAGGAAAGGAAUUUUAAGUAUGUCCGUUUGUCAUUUUGUUACUGGUUUUGGAUCUGAUUAAAAAGUCCAGGAGCAGAGUUGUUUGCAAGGGAUCACCGUAUCACUUCUUGAAGCACAGCAUUUCAAUUGAGGCUUCAUGUUCUUAAAAAAAAUUCUUUGGGGAUAUGAAUUUCUUUAAGGGGGUUAAUGGAAGCCUUGCGAAGAUGUAGAUUUCCCUCAGGCAAAAAAAAAAUAAAAAAAAAAUAUGGGGGUGCAUUUUGCACUAACCAGCGAUUACCCCUGGUUUGAAUAAAGAAAAGUACAUUUGGAUUAGAAAUGCAAA
This is a non-coding RNA of Pantherophis guttatus, 4595 nucleotides long. NCBI's taxonomy places the organism in Eukaryota, Metazoa, Chordata, Lepidosauria, Squamata, Colubridae. The record is from RefSeq and is a predicted model, not a curated record.